UACGUAGGGGGCUAGCGUUGUCCGGAAUCAUUGGGCGUAAAGCGCGCGUAGGCGGCCCGGUAAGUCCGCUCUGAAAGUCCAGGGCUCAACCCUGGAAAGCGGGUGGAUACUGCCGGGCUAGAAUCCGGAAGAGGCGAGUGGAAUUCCUGGUGUAGCGGUGGAAUGCGUAGAUAUCGGGAGGAACACCAGCGGCGAAGGCGGCGCUCUGGGCCGGAACUGACGCUGAGGAGCGAAAGCGUGGGUAGCAAACAGG
Molecule: ribosomal RNA, 253 nt
Filed under: uncultured bacterium
Lineage: Bacteria
Description: partial 16S ribosomal RNA
Rfam family: Bacterial small subunit ribosomal RNA
Source: RNAcentral